UACGUAGGGGGCAAGCGUUGUCCGGAAUCAUUGGGCGUAAAGCGCGUGUAGGCGGCUCGAUAAGUCUGCUGUGAAAGUCCAGGGCUCAACCCUGGGAUGCCGGUGGAUACUGUCGAGCUCGAGUCCGGAAGGGGCGAGUGGAAUUCCUGGUGUAGCGGUGAAAUGCGCAGAUAUCAGGAGGAACACCAAUGGCGAAGGCAGCUCGCUGGGACGAGACUGACGCUGAGACGCGAAAGCGUGGGGAGCAAACAGG
RNAcentral lists this ribosomal RNA (253 nucleotides) under uncultured bacterium. Its description in RNAcentral is "partial 16S ribosomal RNA". It matches the Rfam family "Bacterial small subunit ribosomal RNA", at positions 524 to 776 of the family's 1533-position model. The record is from RNAcentral.